AAAAGUGAAAGACGGUCUUGCUGUCACUUAUAGAUGGAUCCGCGCUGCAUUAGCUAGUUGGUAAGGUAACGGCUUACCAAGGCAACGAUGCAUAGCCGACCUGAGAGGGUGAUCGGCCACACUGGAACUGAGACACGGUCCAGACUCCUACGGGAGGCAGCAGUAGGGAAUCUUCCGCAAUGGGCGAAAGCCUGACGGAGCAACGCCGCGUGAGUGAUGAAGGUCUUCGGAUCGUAAAACUCUGUUAUUAGGGAAGAACAUAUGUGUAAGUAACUGUGCACAUCUUGACGGUACCUAAUCAGAAAGCCACGGCUAACUACGUGCCAGCAGCCGCGGUAAUACGUAGGUGGCAAGCGUUAUCCGGAAUUAUUGGGCGUAAAGCGCGCGUAGGCGGUUUUUUAAGUCUGAUGUGAAAGCCCACGGCUCAACCGUGGAGGGUCAUUGGAAACUGGAAAACUUGAGUGCAGAAGAGGAAAGUGGAAUUCCAUGUGUAGCGG
RNAcentral lists this ribosomal RNA (497 nucleotides) under Staphylococcus aureus. RNAcentral describes it as "bacterial SSU rRNA". It matches the Rfam family "Bacterial small subunit ribosomal RNA", at positions 196 to 681 of the family's 1533-position model. The record is from RNAcentral. Lineage: Bacteria; Bacillati; Bacillota; Bacilli; Caryophanales; Staphylococcaceae.